CUAGUCUUCUCUCCUCCACCCUUCUCCCUGAGUGCAGUUAGCAGCCAUUCCCUCCUAAAUAGAAACAUAUCAAUUGUUUGUUUUCUCCAUAAUUUGUACAUCACUAGUUUCUUCUUGUAUAAUUGUGUAACUAUGAAAAUUAACCAACCAGGAAACCAAGCGAACAACAUUAUUGAUCAGUCAUGGUAAAAUAAUAUGCAUUGCAUGGCUUUCUGUUUUAAAACAGGAAGGGGGGAAUCCAAAAUAAACGAGGUGCUGGGCAGGGUUUUUCUGCCCUAAAUACAGUAUGUGUGACCUUGUUAUGCUGGAACUACUGGGUGGUUGUCACUUCAGUGUUUUCUCUCUCUCUACCUCUGCUGCAUCUCCUCCUCUGUUUGUUCUCUCCUCUACACUGUGCUGAGGGUUAGCUGUGAUCCCUAUGCAGGUUGACACAUCCUCCUCUACCCUGUGCUGAGGGUUAGCUGUGAUCCCUAUAGAGGUUAGCUGUAAUCCCUAUAGAGGUUGACACAUCCUCCUCUACCCUGUGCUGAGGGUUAGCUGUGAUCCCUAUAGAGGUUGACACAUCCUCCUCUACCCUGUGCUGAGGGUUAGCUGUGAUCCCUAUAGAGGUUAGCUGUAAUCCCUAUAGAGGUUGACACAUCCUCCUCUACCCUGUGCUGAGGGUUAGCUGUGAUCCCUAUAGAGGUUGACACAUCCUCCUCUACCCUGUGCUGAGGGUUAGCUGUGAUCCCUAUAGAGGUUAACACAUCCUCCUCUACCCUGUGCUGAGGGUUAGCUGUGAUCCCUAUAGAGGUUAGCUGUAAUCCCUAUAGAGGUUAGCUGUGAUCCCUAUAGAGGUUAGCUGUGAUCCCUAUAGAGGUUAGCUGUGAUCCCUAUAGAGGUUAGCUGUGAUCCCUAUAGAGGUUAGCUGUGAUCCCUAUAGAGGUUAGCUGUGAUCUCUAUAGAGGUUAGCUGUGAUCCCUAUAGAGGUUAGCUGUGAUCUCUAUAGAGGUUAGCUGUGAUCCCUAUAGAGGUUAGCUGUAAUCCCUAUAGAGGUUGACACAUCCUCCUCUACCCUGUGCUGAGGGUUAGCUGUGAUCCCUAUGCAGGUUGACACAUCCUCCUCUACCCUGUGCUGAGGGUUAGCUGUAAUCCCUAUAGAGGUUGGCACAUCCUCCUCUACCCUGUGCUGAGGGUUAGCUGUAAUCCCUAUAGAGGUUGACACAUCCUCCUAUACCCUGUGCUGAGGGUGAGCUGUGAUCCCUAUAGAGGUUGACACACCCUCCUCUACCCUGUGCUGAGGGUUAGCUGUGAUCCCUAUAGAGGUUAGCUGUAAUCCCUAUAGAGGUUGACACAUCCUCCUCCACAGUGACAUUAUUCUCUCUGUGCUGACAUACUGCUGUGACAUUAUUCUCUCUGACAUAAUGCAGUAACAUUAUUCUCUCUGACAUACUGCAGUGACAUGAUUCUCUCUGAACUGACAUAUUGCAGUGACAUUAUUCUCUCUGACAUACUGCAGUGACAUUAUUCUCUCUGAACUGACAUACUGCAGUGACAUUAUUCUCUCUGUGCUGACAUACUGCAGUGACAUAAUUAUCUCUGUGCUGACAUACUGCAGUAACCUUAUUCUCUCUGACAUACUGCAGUGACCUUAUUCUCUCUGAACUGACAUACUGCAGUAACGUUAUUCUCGCUGACAUACUGCAGUAACAUUAUUCUCUCUGAACUGACAUACUGCAGUCACCUUAUUCUCUCUGAACUGACAUACUGCAGUGACAUUAUUCUCUCUGACAUACUGCAGUAACCUUAUUCUCUCUGACAUACUGCAGUGACAUUAUUCUCUCUGAACUGACAUACUGCAGUGACCUUAUUCUUUCUGAACUGACAUACUGCAGUAACAUUAUUCUCUCUGAACUGGCAUACUGCAGUAACCUUAUUCUCUCUGAACUGACAUACUGCAGUGACAUUAUUAUCUCUGACAUACUGCAGUAACCUUAUUCUCUCUGACAUACUGCAGUGACAUUAUUCUCUCUGAACUGACAUCCUGCAGUGACAUUAUUCUCUCUGAACUGACAUACUGCAGUGACAUUAUUCUCUCUGUGCUGACAUACUGCAGUGACAUUAUUCUCUCUGACAUACUGCAGUAACAUUAUUCUCUCUGACAUACUGCAGUGACAUGAUUCUCUCUGAA
Long non-coding RNA from Oncorhynchus keta (chum salmon), 2170 nucleotides. RefSeq lists it as uncharacterized. Lineage: Eukaryota; Metazoa; Chordata; Actinopteri; Salmoniformes; Salmonidae. The record is from RefSeq and is a predicted model, not a curated record. The transcript is spliced from 3 exons.